AGUAAACAGAAAGAUUUCAUAUAUUUAAUCAACUCGGUUGCAUUACAUGGAACACAAUCUGAAAAAGAUAUUACAUAAUCUCCUAUAUAUUAACCAUGAAAAAGAAGGUGAAAUGUAAAACUAUCUUGUAGUAGCCCCAUUCUCGAUCUUUCUAUCAACAACCUAGCCAUGCAUAAUCUUCGUCUUCAUCAGCCUUCAUGCUACUUAGCCCACCAAAACGCCAUAUAUUUAGGUACAGAGGGAGUAGAUGACAAGCUUCUCUAUGAACUUCUCUGGACGCCUUCUUUGACAUUGCUAUUGGAUGAACCACCACCACCCUGCACAUCAUUCAGUACUAGAACUGACUGGCAAAGCGCCACUGCAAUAGAUUAAAUAAACAGAAUGAAAAUUCAACAUGUGGAGAUGGAAGCCGCAUGCAAAACUUAAAUAUUCUAGGAUUAAUCAUUUAUUGAAGGAAUGCUCAAUCAGUUCAGUGUACUGUAAAUGACCAAUAUAAAUUCUUGUUGUUCCUUAUUCCUAGCAGAGGGUCGAUUUAAUUGUAACAAGAAUGUAUAACUGCGAAGUAGGCAUGCUAGUCUGUUAGGGACUCUUAAAGUUUGUCCCCUCAAUCUUUUUCUUUUCUUUUGCCAUAUGUCACAAACCAAACAUACAUUAGGACCAUAUAUAUCAAACAUAUAGACAUGCAUGUUGUCAUCAACAUGGUUCCCUCUUGGUACGAAAAAAGGAAGUCUCAUCCUAAGAUCAAAGAUUAGCCACGUUAAGACAUCUAGAUUAUAGCAUACAGAAAAAUAGUAAAUUGUAUACUGCAAGUGGGUAAUUGAAACUUUAAGAUAGCCACACACAUAUACUGUUAUUUUGUUGUCCAGCCAAUUAAAUAAAGAGUAACUUGAAGUAACCUCACAAAAAGAAAACUUGAACUAAGAUAAUGAAAACUUAUUGUGCCAUAUAACUUACAUUCAGGUGUGAAUUUCGUUCCACAAAGCUUCUACAGACCAACAAAAAUCCCUUCGACAACAUCCUUUAUGGGUAAUUGGGAAUAUAGUUCGUGGAGAUAAUUUUAACAAACUUGGUUUAUGUGUAUUUUGUCACCAGUUCCUCAAGGCAAGUCUAAAGCAACCCACAUU
This 1124-nucleotide long non-coding RNA is filed under the name Triticum aestivum (bread wheat). RNAcentral's name for it is "long non-coding RNA (TAES_LNC006372)". The record is from RNAcentral. Lineage: Eukaryota; Viridiplantae; Streptophyta; Magnoliopsida; Poales; Poaceae.